AGCAGCCGCGGUAAUUCCAGCUCCAAUAGCGUAUAUUAAAGUUGCUGCAGUUAAAAAGCUCGUAGUUGAAUUUCGGGAUCAAUAUGUUGGUCGUGCCUCGGUACGUACUAGCUUAUUGGUUUCUUCCUUCUGACGAACCAUAAUGUCAUUUAUUUGGUGUUAUGGGGAAUCAGGACUGUUACUUUGAAAAAUUAGAGUGUUUAAAGCAGGCUCACGCUUGAAUACAUUAGCAUGGAAUAAUGAAAUAGGACGUUUGAUUCUAUUUUGUUGGUUUCUAGGAUCGACGUAAUGAUUAAUAGGGAUAGUUGGGGGCAUUAGUAUUCAAUUGUCAGAGGUGAAAUUCUUGGAUUUAUUGAAGACUAAACUACUACGAAAGCAUUUGCCAAGGAUGUUUUCAUUAAUCAAGAACGAAAGUUAGGGGAUCGAAGACGAUCAGAUACCGUCGUAGUCUUAACCAUAAACUAUGCCGACUAGGGAUCGGAUGAUGUUAAUUUUUAAUGUACUCAUUCGGCGCCUUAAC
Molecule: unclassified non-coding RNA, 520 nt
Filed under: uncultured Glomus
Lineage: Eukaryota; Fungi; Glomeromycota; Glomeromycetes; Glomerales; Glomeraceae
Description: SSU rRNA
Rfam family: Eukaryotic small subunit ribosomal RNA
Source: RNAcentral